AUUGAACGCUGGCGGCAGGCCUAACACAUGCAAGUCGAGCGAGCGGCGGACGGGUGAGUAAUGUCUGGGAAACUGCCUGAUGGAGGGGGAUAACUACUGGAAACGGUAGCUAAUACCGCAUACCAUCAGAUGUGCCAAGAUGGGAUUAGCUAGUAGGUUGGGUAAUGGCUCACCUAGGCGACGAUCCCUAGCUGGUCUGAGAGGAUGACCAGCCACCCUGGAACGGAGACACGGUCCAUACUCCGACGGGAGGCAGCAUUGGGGAAUAUUGCACAAUGGGCGCAAGCCUGAUACAGCCAUGCCGCGUGUGUGAAGAAGGCCUUCGGGUUGUAAAGCACUUUCAGCGGGGAUGCGUUACCCGCAGAAGAAGCACCGGCUAACUCCGUGCCAGCAGCCGCGGUAAUAC
Molecule: ribosomal RNA, 406 nt
Filed under: uncultured bacterium
Lineage: Bacteria
Description: partial 16S ribosomal RNA
Rfam family: Bacterial small subunit ribosomal RNA
Source: RNAcentral